CUCAGGGAGGUAGUGACAAGAAAUAACAACACUGGAAAUUUCAUUUCUAGUGAUUGGAAUGAUGGGAGUCCAAACCCCUUUCAGAGUAACAAUUGGAGGGCAAGUCUGGUGCCAGCAGCCGCGGUAAUUCCAGCUCCAAUAGCGUAUAUUAAAGUUGUUGCAGUUAAAAAGCUCGUAGUUGGAUGUCUGCUGGAAGCAAUCAUCAGUCCGCCCUAUUAUUUUAGGGUGUGCACUUGAUGAAUUCUGGCAUCUAUUAUUAUCCUUAUUAAUAUAGUCAUGAUUUUCAGUAAUUGUGACAUAUUAUUAGGGAUAAUACAGUUACUUUGAGAAAAUUAGAGUGUUUGAAGCAGGCUUUUUGUUGCCUUGAAUACUGCAGCAUGGAAUAACAAUAUAGGAUUUCGGUUCUAUUUUGUUGGUUUCUAGGACUGAAAUAAUGAUUAAUAGGGACAGUUGGGGGCAUUCGUAUUUAACUGUCAGAGGUGAAAUUCUUAGAUUUGUUAAAGACGAACUACUGCGAAAGCAUUUGCCAAGGAUGUUUUCAUUAAUCAAGAAUUCGAAAGUUAGGGGCUCGAAGACGAUCAGAUACCGUCGUAGUCUUAACCAUAAACUAUGCCGACUAGAGAUAGGAAAAUGUCACUGUUUCGACUUCU
This 650-nucleotide ribosomal RNA is filed under the name Sarcocystis silva. Its description in RNAcentral is "SSU rRNA". It matches the Rfam family "Eukaryotic small subunit ribosomal RNA", at positions 455 to 1079 of the family's 1831-position model. Lineage: Eukaryota; Apicomplexa; Conoidasida; Eucoccidiorida; Sarcocystidae. The record is from RNAcentral.